Molecule: ribosomal RNA, 171 nt
Filed under: Hoya praetorii
Lineage: Eukaryota; Viridiplantae; Streptophyta; Magnoliopsida; Gentianales; Apocynaceae
Description: 5.8S ribosomal RNA
Rfam family: 5.8S ribosomal RNA
About the family: 5.8S ribosomal RNA (5.8S rRNA) is a component of the large subunit of the eukaryotic ribosome.
Source: RNAcentral
UACACGACUCUCGGCAACGGAUAUCUAGGCUCUCGCAUCGAUGAAGAACGUAGCAAACUGCGAUACUUGGUGUGAAUUGCAGAAUCCCGUGAACCAUCGAGUCUUUGAACGCAAGUUGCGCCCGAAKCCAUUAGGCCGAGGGCACGUCUGCCUGGGCGUCACGCAUCGCGU